GUGGGGAAUUUUGGACAAUGGGCGCAAGCCUGAUCCAGCCAUUCCGCGUGCAGGAUGAAGGCCUUCGGGUUGUAAACUGCUUUUGUACGGAACGAAAAGCCUCUGGUUAAUACCCGGGGGUCAUGACGGUACCGUAAGAAUAAGCACCGGCUAACUACGUGCCAGCAGCCGCGGUAAUACGUAGGGUGCGAGCGUUAAUCGGGAUUACUGGGCGUAAAGCGUGCGCAGGCGGUGAUGUAAGACAGUUGUGAAAUCCCCGGGCUCAACCUGGGAACUGCAUUGGUGACUGCAAGGCUGGAGUGCGGCAGAGGGGGAUGGAAUUCCGCGUGUAGCAGUGAAAUGCGUAGAUAUGCGGAGGAACACCGAUGGCGAAGGCAAUCCCCUGGGCCUGCACUGACGCUCAUGCACGAAAGCGUGGGGAGCAAACAGGAUUAGAAACCCCUGUAGUCC
RNAcentral lists this ribosomal RNA (450 nucleotides) under uncultured bacterium. Its description in RNAcentral is "partial 16S ribosomal RNA". It matches the Rfam family "Bacterial small subunit ribosomal RNA", at positions 354 to 796 of the family's 1533-position model. The record is from RNAcentral.